AAUGAACGCUGGCGGCGUGCUUAACACAUGCAAGUCGGACGAGAAAGGCUGAUUUCGGUUGGCCGAGUAAAGUGGCGCACGGGUGAGUAACGCGUAGGCAACCUACCCUUGUAUUGGGGAUAACCCCGCGAAAGCGGUGCGUAAUACCGGAUACGAUCCUUAUGCGGGAGUAUGGGGAUGAAAGUCGGCCUCUCGAAGAAGCUGACGUACGAGGAUGGGCCUGCGUCCUAUCAGCUAGUUGGUGGGGUAGCGGCCUACCAAGGCGACGACGGGUAGCUGGUCUGAGAGGAUGGAUCAGCCACACUGGCACUGGAACACGGGCCAGGACUCCUACGGUGGCAG
This 342-nucleotide ribosomal RNA is filed under the name uncultured Pseudomonadota bacterium. Its description in RNAcentral is "bacterial SSU rRNA". It matches the Rfam family "Bacterial small subunit ribosomal RNA", at positions 29 to 351 of the family's 1533-position model. Lineage: Bacteria; Pseudomonadati; Pseudomonadota. The record is from RNAcentral.